RNAcentral lists this ribosomal RNA (157 nucleotides) under Hyalorbilia fusispora. RNAcentral describes it as "5.8S ribosomal RNA". It matches the Rfam family "5.8S ribosomal RNA". Rfam says of the family: 5.8S ribosomal RNA (5.8S rRNA) is a component of the large subunit of the eukaryotic ribosome. It is transcribed by RNA polymerase I as part of the 45S precursor that also contains 18S and 28S rRNA. Lineage: Eukaryota; Fungi; Ascomycota; Orbiliomycetes; Orbiliales; Orbiliaceae. The record is from RNAcentral.
AAACUUUCAACAACGGAUCUCUUGGUUCCCGCAUCGAUGAAGAACGCAGCGAAACGCGAUAGUUAAUGUGAAUUGCAGAAUUCAGUGAAUCAUCGAGUCUUUGAACGCACAUUGCGCCUUUUGGUAUUCCGAGAGGCACGUCCGUUUGAGCGUCAGU